RNAcentral lists this non-coding RNA (77 nucleotides) under human gut metagenome. RNAcentral describes it as "Glycine riboswitch". It matches the Rfam family "Glycine riboswitch aptamer", at positions 9 to 86 of the family's 94-position model. From Rfam's summary of the family: This family represents the bacterial glycine riboswitch. Glycine riboswitches usually consist of two metabolite-binding aptamers domains with similar structures in tandem. RNAcentral also lists the same sequence under 1 other name. The record is from RNAcentral.
GCUCUCCGGAGAAGUCCUGAUCAGGAUGCCGAAGGUGCAAGGCGCAAGCCAAUCUCUCAGGCAAAAGGACGGAGUAA